GAUGAAGAACGUAGCGAAAUGCGAUAAGUAAUGUGAAUUGCAGAAUUCAGUGAAUCAUCGAAUCUUUGAACGCACAUUGCGCCCGCCAGUAUUCUGGCGGGCAUGCCUGUUCGAGCGUCAUUUCAACCCUCAAGCCCCAGCGGCCUGGUGUUGGGGACCGGCGACCUCGCCCGAGCCCGCCCUCCGGGGCGCGUGCCCGGUGCGUCCGCCGCCCCCGAAAUGAAUUGGCGGCCUCGUCGCGGCCUCCUCUGCGUAGUAGCACAACCUCGCAAGCGGGAGCGCGACGCGGCCACUGCCGUAAAACGCACAACUUUUUUAGAGUUGACCUCGGAUCAGGUAGGAAUACCCGCUGAACUUAAGCAUAUCAAUAAGCGGAGGA
This 379-nucleotide unclassified non-coding RNA is filed under the name soil metagenome. RNAcentral describes it as "partial contains 5.8S ribosomal RNA, internal transcribed spacer 2, and large subunit ribosomal RNA". The stretch from base 1 to 120 matches the Rfam family "5.8S ribosomal RNA", at positions 35 to 154 of the family's 154-position model. The record is from RNAcentral.